UGGGGAAUAUUGCGCAAUGGGCGAAAGCCUGACGCAGCGACGCCGCGUGGGUGAUGAAGUUCUUCGGAACGUAAAACCCUGUCGGGAGGAACGAAGCUCUGACGGUACCUCCAAAGGAAGCCCCGGCUAACUCCGUGCCAGCAGCCGCGGUAAUACGGGGGGGGCAAGCGUUAUUCGGAAUUACUGGGUGUAAAGGGCGCGUAGGCGGCUAAAUUGGUCAGGUGUGAAAUCCCUCGGCUUACCCGAGGAACUGCGCUUGAUACCAUUUGGCUUGAGUACAGGAGAGGUGGGCGGAAUUCCAGGUGUAGCGGUGAAAUGCGUAGAUAUCUGGAAGAACACCGGUGGCGAAGGCGGCUCACUGGACUGUCACUGACGCUGAAGCGCGAAAGCGUGGGGAGCGAACG
RNAcentral lists this ribosomal RNA (404 nucleotides) under uncultured prokaryote. RNAcentral's name for it is "bacterial SSU rRNA". It matches the Rfam family "Bacterial small subunit ribosomal RNA", at positions 355 to 774 of the family's 1533-position model. The record is from RNAcentral.